UCUUUGGCUGUGAGGCCCACCCACUUCCAGGUCGCCUCACUUCCUCCUCUUCGCCAUCGCCUGUGCAGGUAAUGUAGCGGUAGCUGCCUGGUUUUGUUGUUUGCAUUGGAUUUUGCGGUUGUCACAGUUAUGGUUUGUCUGUGUGCAAACGUCCGACGGGCGGACGCUGCGCCUGUGGGGCUGGCUCGCCGGUAAUCUGCCAUUCAAUGCGCUAUUGGUCAACCGCGUUUGCCACUGCCGCUGUGAGACCUAAAGUGCUCUGACCCUCUCCAGUGUGUGUGCGUCAUCGACGCUGCCUGAUCGGUGCUGGAAGCUUACGGUGGCAGUCCUGGUGUCCUGGCGGUGGGGUUCCCCCUUUUCUUUUGGUGUGUGUGUGUGUGCGGUGCGACCCCUCCUCAGUUAUUUGGUUUUGGUGUUUGAGUGACACGAGCGAGUGGGGUGCUUUUCUCCAUGGGUUCCUUCACCUCCCCGUUCUCCUAGUCUCCCCCACUGGAGAACUAAUUGGUGUGGACUGAUGCACACAGGACAGCCUUUACAGGAUGAUAGUCCAAGGGGAUAUCCUGCUGAGAACUUGCUGGAAGACCUAGCAGAAGAGGGUGGCGAGGAGGAUGAGGGCUUUGAGGGGGAAGAUUCAAAACUUUAAGGUUCUAGUUCACCACUGUGCUCAUAGACUAGUUUGUAUCCUCAUCCAGUCAUCUAGUUUUUACACAGCCCCCGAGCCAGCCUGCAGUCCAGCCUUCCAGACAUUAUGUUUUCCAGUCUGAAUCCUGACCUGGUGUCUCCGGUGCCCCACACUGGUGCCACAAAUACAGUUGGUAAGUAAUCUUUUACGGAAAACUCACAAUAAAGCAACAGUUGUGUCCAAAUGAUUGAGCAUACAAAAACAACAUGCAAUAGACAGCAUAUAGGUUUUAAGACAUAUGUGAUAUGUAGAAUAAUUUCACAGCAAGUUCUCCUAUUUAUUUACUUACUGAUGACAAAUUGUAUGUUUAUCAUGUUUAUCAGGUAUGGAUCAAGUUGACAGCCUUGCAGACUAUAUGGUAGAACUGAGAACACAGACCUCCAUAACUCUCAGCAACCAAGAGAUCAGCAAUAUUUGCAACUUAGAAUAUCAUACUUAGUCCAAAAAGAAUGUGUUUUUCAUUAGUUAUUCAUUUCAUUUAAUAUCGUGUCACCAAAUAUUAAUAUUUUGUUUUCUGUGGGGUUUUCUAUGUCUGUUUUUAAGGUGAGCUCAAUUGUGGCCAUGUGGUAGUGUGACUGAAGCUGUGUCUUACAUACAGUCUACCUCAAAGUACUGCAGGACAAGUAGUUACUAAGAAGAAAGACACUGUUGCCCGUUCCAGCAGUGUCCCAGCAGCUGUUCCUCUGAAGAAGCGUCUGGCCUGAACCAUGCCCAACUUCUUGCGUUACCCCUAUUCCUCUGGUUUUCCUUGGUUUUCCCCAAGCACUGUCUUUUGUUCCUGUACCAACACAACUGCAAGUCCCUGGUACUACACCAUCCCCUGCCACUACAUCUGCUACAUCUGCUCCUCAAAGACAAACCUCAACAAAGGCACAGGACUGCAGAAAUAGGACACAGCCAAUACAAAGGCACAGUUUACUGACCCUCCACAGAAACUGUAGCAAAAGAUGAAUGAGUGACGAGAGGUAGUCAUAGAAAGAGUGGAGUCAUAGAAAGAGUGGCAGGAUUAGUUUGAAUUGUUUGAUUGUUAUGUUAUCUGAACAUAUUCAGAUGCUUAACUUUUCAAAUAUUCUCAAGAGUAAAUAUAUUAUAUACAGUUUGACUGCAACUCAAAGAAGAACUCAAAGUGAGACCAGGGGCCUGUAUCAUGAAGCAGGAUUAAUGUCUUAGCGAGGUAACUUCAGGGUUAAAGAGGACAUGAAACACUAAACAUAGUUAUCAUAAUUUAAAGAGGGUCUCUCACCCUGAAAAGAUAAUUUUAGUUUAAACACUGAAAAUGAAAGGAAUCUCAAAAUCCUGCCAUUUAAGUUCAGCUGUUAAAACAAAGGACGGCGCCAUGUCUGUUGUGUUGCCGGACGUGACGUCAGCGGAGUGGUUGUCAAGCUAGCGAUCUCAAUGAAGUGAAGACAGUGGAGCAUUUCUGAAGUGGGUUGAGCGCCACACUUUUUGACAAUGGAGGAAGACGAACUGGAGAGGCCUGUUGAGUCUGUGACAAGCCCCAUUGCCUACGCAUAUGAGCCUAUAAGGCGUGGGAAUCGAGCAGUGGUACGGGAGGAAGAAGUGGUUGAGCCGGUGAUUUGGGGUCAAGGGCGUGUUGGCAACAUUACGUGGUGUCAAUGUGGCGAUGCCCACUGUGCCAGAGUCCAUUUGCUGCCAGGAGGCUGGUCUGGACCAUCUUCUCCAUGACCACCCCUGCAUCACCAUGGUGCGCUCAUUCAGCACCCUGUGCCGGGAGGUGGACGUGUUGGGGGUAGCGAUGCUUUCGCUGAGGGAUGUCAGAGCUGAGACACUGCAGUGCCCGUCACCAGCAGGUAAGUCAAGCUAGCUGUAACCGCGUGCCAAUGACUCAGUAACCGUAUGCAGUAAAGAAAACAAAUGCAUGCACUACGGUGUUGGCCAGGAAUAUGAACAAUGUUUCCACGUGCUGUUUGUUUACAUACAGUUGUUGUCUGAGGGGUAUUCCAUGUAGGAGGUUCAACAAACUCUGAGUCUAACCUUGAACUCUUGGACUCAGAUUUAAUCUAAUGGGGAAAAACACAGGAGGCAGCAACUGAAAAAUAGGAAGAUUUAAAACAUAUAGGCUAGGCUAUAGAUCAAAGACAUAAAGACAUGACUGUAAACUCAGUCUGACCCAGUAAUAAUAUGUUUGGUGAUUUGCACUUGAAAAGAUGUUAAGGUUAAAAUACAGUAGAUUUUAAAAUGUUGCACAUCUAUUUGUAUCUUGACUCAACAGCAUUCAGUGACUUUAUUUCAGCUACAAAUGUAGUACAUUUAAAGACACUGAAAUGCUGCACCAUUACUCACUCAGAAAUAUUAACAUGUAAUCCCCAAUAUUAGACUAUAGGAAUUAUGUUCCAUCAGUGCGACCAAUGACAUCAGUGAUAGAGAACAUUAGUCAUUGAUACUACGUGUUUAAAGCUUCAUACCGAUUUUUAAAAUUUAAAUAAUUAGACCUACACAUUAUGUGCAAUAAACAUUUCGGAGCUGCUCUAAUAGACUGACAGUCUGAUCCUUGUGCACAGUGUUAUAAAAAAAAUAAUUAAUAUAAAAAGGACAGAGGUUUCAUUCUGAGCUGAGGGUGAAUUCUCGCUGUGUAAUAUUUGAAUGUAAAGACAAAAACCGAUGUCCAAAGAAAUGAUUGUGCAUAAAUUCAGUAACUUAAGACAGUCCUGAGUAACAAACUAAUAUCCAGCAGGAUUUAGACUGUGACAGACGGUAAAUCUCCGCUAAUUAAUGCGCUUCGAUACAAGCUUUGACACGGACUGAAUGAAUGAGGAAAUGAAACCGCGUGUAAGAGGGAGGAGACAGAAAAAAACUCAGGGUUUAUUGAAGAAAACCUGCCAGCGAGCAGGUUAUGUUCAGAGUCUGUUACCAUGGUGAUUGACUCAGAGUUUCAGUUACCUCUCUUUCUGGAACGGAUAAGUCAGUUUUCCCUCAUCUCAGGGUUAACUUACUCUGAGUUUUCACACCCACUUUCUGGAAUACCCCUGUGACCGAAACGUCUUUGUUUAUGUCGUUUCUCCGGUACUAAUUGCUAGCUAACCCUUAGCGUUAGCUAGUUGACGCUAACAGCUAUCAAUGCUGGUACCUAAUGUUAGUUCGCCAGUUCACAUAGCUGACUAUUGCUACUGGUGAAUGAGCCAGUUAAAUGCGGAACAUGUCUGAGAGGCCUGACGUAACAAUAUAAUGCCACAUGAAUGCUUUCUAUACGUAGUUUGUUUAUAUCGUGUUGUGCAACACGUUAUGAAACCAACGUUUGGGAAACUGCUGUGAAAACACCGUGAUGCAGACAGUUUGAUGUCAGACAUUCAGACGGGUUCAUCCUCAGUAACUUUUGAGUGGGAUUAGCAAUACACAGUUGACGUAUAUUCUGGAAUCUGAAAGGAAUGAUUCAAUGUUUUGUACUUCGUAGGUGAUAUAGAAUAAUACAUAGAAAUGGAUAUGAAGCAAGGCUGAAGUUAACAUAAAUUACCAAAUGGAUUUCCACUCUCACACUCUAACAAGUGGACACAUAUAAAAGAAAAAAGACGCUCUGUUAUAUCUUUCCUGACAACAAACAACUUGUUUAUGAUCUUAAAAAACUGAGACAAAUCUAACCAAUACAUUUCUUUUCCAUAAGUCUCUUUAGGUUGACUGCCUACAGACAGUUUACCCUCUGGGCCAGGGGCCAUUUGGGAAGGAAGGGCCGGGUCUCGAUUCCAGCCUAUGUGGCCUGGCCUUCCACAGAUGUACAGUGUGAGUGGUCAUUGUUUAUGACCUGGUUGGUAAGUAUGUCAUCUGUCAAUGUGCCUGUGCAAAUGUACUGCUUAAUGUCUCCCUCUUCUGUAUCCUGUUGAAAUGGAUCGGUCUGGGUGUCGACACUGACUGUCAGGGUGUGCACACUGCCUGUCACCUACUCUAUCUCCUCACUGAUGUCAGCCUCUGGGAAUUUGCUGCUGGCCACCAGUUGCAUACAUGCCUGCCUAACCUGUUAACACAAAUGUACACUUUUUAGGUACCCAAAUGAUGUUAUCAGCCUUAACAUGAAAGACUUUGUACUUACAUCCUGACUACUGAUUUAUUAAAGAUUCAUAUACCCUAAACACUUUUUGUUGUGUUUUUAUUCUUUUGAUAACCACGCAUAGAAAACUAUCCAAUGUAUCCUCUGAUUUGUUUCAGUGAUGGUUGUGUGAAAUUGGUUUUGGUUAAAUGUCCAUACCAGUUCUGGCUGUAGUGCUUGUUGAAUCAAUAUAAUUAUUUGGUGUUUUAUUAUCAUAAGAUUAAUGUGUGUAAACACUGGGGAUGUUUGCUUUGCUUCUGAGGGACAUGUAACAAAAUUAACAAAAUUAUAACGUUAAUAUCACAUUUCUUGUAGGAGCCUGGGUACAGAAUGUAGCAGCCAGAAUCAUAUGUCAUAAUGUCACCAAUUCAUUUCCUCACUGACUUAUCUUAUUUUGUACAGUUCUACUAGUUAUUAUUUUGUGACUAUCAAAAGUAUCUGUGUACAGUUAUUUCUAAUGUCCAUGGAGAAUCAUGCACCUCACUACAUUAGCAAUGUCCUCCUUUUGCACUAAUGUACAAUGUGUUUUUACUAGGUGCUGUAGUAGGUAAUAGUUACUAGUACUAGUUUUUAGAGACUGAUAGUAUCUGUCAUGAAGUGUCUGUUGUGUGUCACUGCAGUUCAGGACCAAUACAAAGUUCCAGUGCUAUUUGCAUAAAUAUCUACAAUGUAUGUUCAGUAAAAGGUAAAAGCUAGACUAGAAUGAAAUGCUGAAUAACUGCCAAAUGCAUCAAUAUAUUAUUAGGCCUGCCACCGCUACUGUUCUUGUUGACUAUUUAGUGUUAUGGUAAUGUUGGUUAUGACUAAACAUUAGCAGUAGCGAGCGGUUAGCGCUAACAUCGGCCAAUCAAAAAUGCUAAUUUUGUUGUGAGCCAAUUCCGCUCCUGUGGUAAACACAACAUCAAGUGAGGCCUCAAGUGGAUUGCUGGACGGAGGGUCAACACUUUAGGUUGAAAAAGUAAAUUAUUAUGCCUUACAUUGUGUCGUGAUGG
This is a long non-coding RNA of Epinephelus fuscoguttatus (brown-marbled grouper), 5713 nucleotides long. RefSeq lists it as uncharacterized. Lineage: Eukaryota; Metazoa; Chordata; Actinopteri; Perciformes; Serranidae. The record is from RefSeq and is a predicted model, not a curated record. The transcript has 3 exons.